This 380-nucleotide ribosomal RNA is filed under the name uncultured eukaryote. Its description in RNAcentral is "partial 18S ribosomal RNA". It matches the Rfam family "Eukaryotic small subunit ribosomal RNA", at positions 592 to 976 of the family's 1831-position model. The record is from RNAcentral.
CAAUAGCGUAUAUUAAAGUUGUUGCGGUUAAAAAGCUCGUAGUUGGAGUUCUGCCAGGUGCCGCCUGUCCGCCCCAGUGGUGAGUACGUGGCGCGCAUUUGGCCCUUUCAAGGGGAGCGUAUCUGCACUUUAUUGUGUGGUGCGGGAUCCUUGACUUUUACUUUGAGGAAAUAGGAGUGUUCCAAGCAGGCUCUCGUCGUGCACAGCUCAGCAUGGAAUAAUAGCAUUGGACCUCGAUUCUAAGCUGUUGGUUGCCAGAAGCGAGGUAAUGAUGAAGAGGGAUAGUUGGGGGCAUUCGUAUUUAACUGUCGGAGGUGAAAUUCUUGGAUUUGUUAAAGACGGACUACUGCGAAAGCAUCUGCCAGGGAUGUUUUCAUUGA